Molecule: long non-coding RNA, 3893 nt
Filed under: Brassica napus (rape)
Lineage: Eukaryota; Viridiplantae; Streptophyta; Magnoliopsida; Brassicales; Brassicaceae
Description: long non-coding RNA (BNAP_LNC018308)
Source: RNAcentral
GCUUCAGGAGUGUUUAAAGAAGUCUAGAAGUGUCCUGAAGUCAGUGCAAAGAUAGGGUCAAGUCCAGGAGGGACUUAGACACCAUUUGGAGUAGUUUGGGCGAUGGUGCAAAGUUAGGGCGAGCGGUACGGACUGGUACGGAUCUGUACGGACCUGUACGGAUCCGUACGGACCGAGGUCGACCAAGAAAUGUUCAGACUCAACAAUUGGAGGAGAUUGGGAGUUGGUGCAAAAAUAUGGCGAGGUACGGACAGGCGGUCUGUACCAUCGACCGUACUUGUUCCGGAUCAACCUGAAAUGAAGCUGUGCAAACUUAGGGCGCAAGAGAAGACAAACCUGAGUUAUCUUGUGACUGUUUGUGGAUAAGGGAGAGCUAGGGCGUGGUCAAUGACAGGCUGUCUUUGAGCUGUAAAGGAAAAGCAGCCUUGACCAUGUAUCUAGCCAUCUUUGUGAACAAGGUUCAUGGGAGCCUUAAGGGAACCAAUCAGGAGCCAGCCCUUGCCUUGACCAGUUUGAAUCAACCAAUCAGCAUCCAUCACGUCCUCAGCAACCCACCAGACUCUAUCCUGGCCAUCCAUUUCAAUUCAGUCAUUUUUAUCCAUUAGAUUAAGGGUUUAUGAGUUUGCAAUGUGUAAAGCUUAUAAAUAAGCUAUGUAUGGACGUUUUUGUGUCUCUUAAGAGAGAGAGGGGGAUUUCUCCUCCUCCUUCGUAAUACAAAGUGUGUUCUUGGAUAAUAAUCCCUCAAACUAACCCUUUCUUAUACUUAAAUCUCUUAAUCUCUCUAAAUCUCUUGUUUCCGUCCAAGUUCAUACUGUUCUUAAUCAGACAUUUCUCUCUUCAGUUCAAGCUCUCAUUUCGCCCUUAGUGGCUUCUUCUCACACACACAGCCUGAGCUCUGAAAAUCUAACAUGGUAUCAGAGCCAAGUUCAUCAGAACUUGGUUCCAGCUUCUGCAUAUACAUCACAAGUCUAGCCUCAUCACAGAUCCAAACCAUUGAGGGCUGGUCGCUCUGGCUGGGAGAGACCUUGGUAGGUCGCUCUGAGAGGUCGCUCCAGGAUGCUCGAACAGGGUGGAUAUGCCCCGUGGGUUCUUGAUAUGAAAUGCUAUAUUGUAUUGUCUAGUUCAGUCCCAGGAUGCUUUAAGAGUCUUGUUUGAUGUUGAGAAAUAAAAUGCUUACCCGGUUUGGUUAUGAUUGUGCUAGGAUGUUAUAAACUGUCUAAAUCCUAUUAGCUUUCAUUAAACUGAAAUCACUUAAGGUUUUGCAUUGUCUGAUGUUGAUUGAUGAUUAAUAUUGCUUUUCCUCAGUUAUAAGUGAUGUGUGUUAGGAUAAUAGAAAGCCUUGGCUGAUCUUGUUGCAUACAUGAGCUAGAAACUGAUUAAGGUCACAGCAUAUUGUCAUCUUGUUGCUGCCUUAACAUUGAGCACAUAGAUGGAUGUCUAUGAUUGCGGAUUAAGGCAGGGGUGAUUGCCUAAGUAGCUUGUCUUGAAUCUGAUUUGAUCUUGCUUGUACUUAGAGAGAUUGCUUGCAAAGAUGUGAACUUGAUAAUGCUUGUUUCAAUCUGUUGCAUAGCUUGUGACAUUGGAGAUCAAACUUGAUGAUUAGUCAAGGAUUGAUCCCAAUGCUUGUGUCUUAUCUUUGCUCGAGUUUGAGUGAUGUUUCAGGUUCACAUGAUGUGCUAUUUGUCCAUAAUCAAUCUGAGUAGAAGAGGAAGACUUUACCCAAUGGGAAUGGUCGCUGGGGUGUAUGUGGAUACACAAGGCGAGUGGUCAUCACCUAAGUCUGGAGGAGACCGGUGACCAGAAGGCAUUGGAGAUAAAGGGAAGGGUUGAUCAAUGGUUGAAGCACACUCUAUGAGAUGUUGCGCUCCUGAUCUUAAGGCUCAUUGAGGCUAACUUCAAGCUUGGACCCAUACUCAAUCCAAGCUUGACGAGGGGAGCAAAGUGAGACACCUGAUAAUCCUGUUGCUCAAAUGACCUGUGUUACUCAAGGCCAUUGCAAGCUGAUCAUGGAGUGAUCCAGCCGAAGUGGAGGGAAGAAGAAAGUCACUCAACAAGCUAGUGUGAGGUGCUUGGAGAGUGGGCUGAGGUAUCUCCUCAGUGCAAUGGUGAUGUAGUGGAGGAUUCAAGCAUCAAGUCUGGAAGAGAUGGAGGUGCUCUCCACAAGGCUUAUCUUGGAGCUAUCAUGCGCUCACCAUCACGCUUGGACCUUCUCUAUACUCGGUCUCAAGCUUGAGGAGGAGUGUGGAUGAGCUUGCAUGAUAAGAGAAGGAGCUGUUAAGCUCAACAAGUGAGGGAUUCAAGUGGCGUGUGAAGAGCAGCCACUCCUCACCAUUUAUACAAGGGAGUAAACCUGAUCUUUAUCUCUUUAUAUACAUUCAUGAUAGGUUUAUCUCUUGAGAACUGAUACACUUGUGGAAUGAUGUAUCAGGUACCUUACUUGGAUUCUCAAUGAAGAGGGGGUGAUCUUACCUGAUGGAGAUGGCGAGAAACCAUGAGAGAAGGGAAGACACAAACCGAGUUCAAGAAGAAGUCCAAGAAGAGUGCUGAAGUGAAGAGGCCGUGAUCCAGAGCCUAUGUACCUAAACCGUUUGUGUCAAUCAAGCAAUCAUUAAGAACAAAUCAUUCAACUUUCUAAACUCCCCUAACAUCAAAUGACUUUGGUAGGGUAAGCUAAGAGCAUGUUGCGUUGGCUCAGACAUUUCAUCGAACACCUUCCGAAAAAUGAAAUGUCUAGAUUUCUAAUCUAAAAUGGCCAACUCUAGAUUAGCAUUAAGAUCACUCAAUCAAGCAAGGAAACAUAUUAAUCUACUCUAAACAUUCUAGAUCAUCACUUAAUCAUCCUAAUCAUCCUAACCCAUGAAUCCAAACAUAGUCCGAUUAAGAGAAAUCAUGUUAAGAAGAUGAGAUAGACUCAAAUUACUCAAGGAAGAAAGAUUAUAUUACUAAAGAUUCAAACUUUCUCCAAAAUAUCAAUGUAUUUUUAAGAGAAAACAAGAUAUGGUCCAUGUUUUUGGACUAAAACUAUUUAUAAUAGCUUAAAACUCGAAUCGGGUCAACCCAACAAACUCGGGUUUACCUAAACCUCGGUGAUACUAAGACACAUAGGCUCACUGGCCAAUCCCCAGACCUUGUUGGCUCUACUCUUUUUCCCUCAUCAAAGUUUUGUCCCAAAGGGUUUUCCUUAGUGAGGUUUUUAAUGAGGGAGUUAUUCAAGGUUCUAAGCUUGACUUAGGAUCGCCUAGAGUCAAGCUUGAGGAGGAGUGUUGACUUGAAGAAAGAAAUGGAGCCAAAAGAGGAGUUGGUUGAGUUUGGGUCUUGAUGAAGGAUAGGGCAAGAUCUUCAAAGAUUGCCUGUCAAGGCUUCAGGAGUGUUUAAAGAAGUCUAGAAGUGUCCUGAAGUCAGUGCAAAGAUAGGGUCAAGUCCAGGAGGGACUUAGACACCAUUUGGAGUAGUUUGGGCGAUGGUGCAAAGUUAGGGCGAGCGGUACGGACUGGUACGGAUCUGUACGGACCUGUACGGAUCCGUACGGACCGAGGUCGACCAAGAAAUGUUCAGACUCAACAAUUUGAGGAGAUUGGGAGUUGGUGCAAAAAUAGGGCGAGGUACGGACAGGCGGUCCGUACCAUCGACCUUACUUGUUCCGGAUCAACCUGAAAUGAAGCUGUGCAAACUUAGGGCGCAAGAGAAGACAAACCUGAGUUAUCUUGUGAUUGUUUGUGGAUAAGGGAGAGCUAGGGCGUGGUCAAUGACAGGCUGUCUUUGAGCUGUAAAGGAAAAGCAGCCUUGACCAUGUAUCUAGCCAUCUUUGUGAACAAGGUUCAUGGGAGCCUUAAGGGAACCAAUCAGGAGCCAGCCCUUGCCUUGACCAGUUUGAAUCAACCAAUCAGCAUCCA